UCUACGGGCGGCAGCAGUGGGGAAUAUUGGACAAUGGGCGAAAGCCUGAUCCAGCAAUGCCGCGUGAGUGAUGAAGGCCUUAGGGUUGUAAAGCUCUUUUACCAGGGAUGAUAAUGACAGUACCUGGAGAAUAAGCUCCGGCUAACUCCGUGCCAGCAGCCGCGGUAAUA
Molecule: ribosomal RNA, 170 nt
Filed under: uncultured bacterium
Lineage: Bacteria
Description: partial 16S ribosomal RNA
Rfam family: Bacterial small subunit ribosomal RNA
Source: RNAcentral